RNAcentral lists this ribosomal RNA (757 nucleotides) under Lentilactobacillus buchneri. RNAcentral describes it as "bacterial SSU rRNA". It matches the Rfam family "Bacterial small subunit ribosomal RNA", at positions 49 to 762 of the family's 1533-position model. The record is from RNAcentral. Lineage: Bacteria; Bacillati; Bacillota; Bacilli; Lactobacillales; Lactobacillaceae.
UAAUACAUGCAAGUCGAACGCGUCUCCGUUAAUGAUUUUAGGUGCUUGCACUUGAAAGAUUUAACAUUGAGACGAGUGGCGAACUGGUGAGUAACACGUGGGUAACCUGCCCUUGAAGUAGGGGAUAACACUUGGAAACAGGUGCUAAUACCGUAUAACAACCAAAACCACCUGGUUUUGGUUUAAAAGACGGCUUCGGCUGUCACUUUAGGAUGGACCCGCGGCGUAUUAGCUUGUUGGUAAGGUAACGGCCUACCAAGGCGAUGAUACGUAGCCGACCUGAGAGGGUAAUCGGCCACAUUGGGACUGAGACACGGCCCAAACUCCUACGGGAGGCAGCAGUAGGGAAUCUUCCACAAUGGACGAAAGUCUGAUGGAGCAACGCCGCGUGAGUGAUGAAGGGUUUCGGCUCGUAAAACUCUGUUGUUGGAGAAGAACAGGUGUCAGAGUAACUGUUGACAUCUUGACGGUAUCCAACCAGAAAGCCACGGCUAACUACGUGCCAGCAGCCGCGGUAAUACGUAGGUGGCAAGCGUUGUCCGGAUUUAUUGGGCGUAAAGCGAGCGCAGGCGGUUUUUUAGGUCUGAUGUGAAAGCCUUCGGCUUAACCGGAGAAGUGCAUCGGAAACCGGGAGACUUGAGUGCAGAAGAGGACAGUGGAACUCCAUGUGUAGCGGUGAAAUGCGUAGAUAUAUGGAAGAACACCAGUGGCGAAGGCGGCUGUCUGGUCUGUAACUGACGCUGAGGCUCGAAAGCAU